AGCGAACGCUGGCGGCAGGCCUAACACAUGCAAGUCGAACGAACUCUUCGGAGUUAGUGGCGGUCGGGUGAGUAACACGUGGGAACGUGCCUUUUGGUUCGGAAUAACUCAGGGAAACUUGUGCUAAUACCGAAUGUGCCCUUCGGGGGAAAGAUUUAUCGCCAUUAGAGCGGCCCGCGUCUGAUUAGCUAGUUGGUGAGGUAACGGCUCACCAAGGCGACGAUCAGUAGCUGGUCUGUGAGGAUGACCAGCCACACUGGGACUGAGACACGGACCAGACUCCUACGGGAGGCAGCAGUGGGGAAUCUUGCGCAAUGGGCGAAAGCCUGACGCAGCCAUGCCGCGUGAAUGAUGAAGGUCUUAGGAUUGUAAAAUUCUUUCACCGGGGACGAUAAUGACGGUACCCGGAGAAGAAGCCCCGGCUAACUUCGUG
This 433-nucleotide ribosomal RNA is filed under the name uncultured bacterium. RNAcentral describes it as "partial 16S ribosomal RNA". It matches the Rfam family "Bacterial small subunit ribosomal RNA", at positions 29 to 507 of the family's 1533-position model. The record is from RNAcentral.